Molecule: unclassified non-coding RNA, 312 nt
Filed under: plant metagenome
Description: partial contains 5.8S ribosomal RNA, internal transcribed spacer 2, and large subunit ribosomal RNA
Rfam family: 5.8S ribosomal RNA (bases 1-105)
Source: RNAcentral
GAAAUGCGAUAACUAGUGUGAAUUGCAGAAUUCAGUGAAUCAUCGAGUCUUUGAACGCAUAUUGCGCCCUCUGGCAUUCCGGGGGGCAUGCCUGUCCGAGCGUCAUUACGCACCCUCAAGCCCGGCUUGUGUGAUGGGCCCCGGCGUCUCGUUCGCGAGACGGGCCCGAAAGGCAGCGGCGGCGUCGACCCGAUGAGCCCGAGCGUAUGGGGACUUCUGUCACACGUUCGCGGUGCGGACCGGCGCCUGCUUGACUUUUCUGAUUAUCCAGGUUGACCUCGGAUCAGGUAGGGAUACCCGCUGAACUUAAGC